This 342-nucleotide ribosomal RNA is filed under the name uncultured bacterium. RNAcentral describes it as "bacterial SSU rRNA". It matches the Rfam family "Bacterial small subunit ribosomal RNA", at positions 8 to 350 of the family's 1533-position model. The record is from RNAcentral.
AGAGUUUGAUCCUGGCUCAGAUUGAACGCUGGCGGCAUGCUUUACACAUGCAAGUCGAACGGCAGCACAGGGAGCUUGCUCCCGGGUGGCGAGUGGCGCACGGGUGAGUAAUACAUCGGAACGUGUCCUGUUGUGGGGGAUAACUGCUCGAAAGGGUGGCUAAUACCGCAUGAGACCUGAGGGUGAAAGCGGGGGAUCGCAAGACCUCGCGCAAUUGGAGCGGCCGAUGCCCGAUUAGCUAGUUGGUGAGGUAAAGGCUCACCAAGGCGACGAUCGGUAGCUGGUCUGAGAGGACGACCAGCCACACUGGGACUGAGACACGGCCCAGACUCCUACGAGGCA